This 500-nucleotide ribosomal RNA is filed under the name uncultured bacterium. RNAcentral describes it as "bacterial SSU rRNA". It matches the Rfam family "Bacterial small subunit ribosomal RNA", at positions 68 to 579 of the family's 1533-position model. The record is from RNAcentral.
UGAAGUCUUCGGAUGGAUUCUUAAAUCAUCUUAGCGGCGAACGGGUGAGUAACGCGUGAGAAACCUGCCUUUCACAAAGGGAUAGCCUCGGGAAACUGGGAUUAAUACCUUAUGACACUUUAACCUCGCAUGAGGAAUAAGUUAAAGCGUAAAGCGGUGAAAGAUGGUCUCGCGUCCUAUUAGCUAGUUGGUGAGGUAACGGCUCACCAAGGCCAUGAUAGGUAGCCGGCCUGAGAGGGUGAACGGCCACACUGGAACUGAGACACGGUCCAGACUCCUACGGGAGGCAGCAGUGGGGAAUAUUGCACAAUGGAGGAAACUCUGAUGCAGCGACGCCGCGUGAAUGAUGAAGGCCUUCGGGUCGUAAAAUUCUGUCCUUGGGGAAGAUAAUGACGGUACCCAAGGAGGAAGCCCCGGCUAACUACGUGCCAGCAGCCGCGGUAAUACGUAGGGGGCAAGCGUUGUCCGGAAUUAUUGGGCGUAAAGGGUUCGCAGGCGGU